GGUUUUGAGACUGAUAGGGAAGAUGCAUCAAGUGGGAAAGAUGAAAAGGUCUCUGGGAGGAGAGUGACAAGUGCUCG
Molecule: ribosomal RNA, 77 nt
Filed under: Togula jolla
Lineage: Eukaryota; Dinophyceae; Gymnodiniales; Gymnodiniaceae
Description: partial Eukaryotic large subunit ribosomal RNA
Source: RNAcentral